CACGUCAGCGCUUUUGCUGACGUGGACACAAAUCGCGCUUUAGAGGACGUGAUUUGUUGCCAUGUCAGCAAAGCGCGCUGACGUGG
Molecule: microRNA precursor, 86 nt
Organism: Gossypium raimondii (Peruvian cotton)
Lineage: Eukaryota; Viridiplantae; Streptophyta; Magnoliopsida; Malvales; Malvaceae
Rfam family: MIR7486 microRNA precursor family
Source: Rfam